GCGGCGUCGGCUUACAAGGCUCAGUUCCUUGGUUUAGUUGACACGAACAUGCAACAUUGGGUUUGGGAGAUGUGGGCUCCCCCCAAAUGCAAAUUCUUUGUUUGGCUUGUUACCAACAAUAGGAUUUGGACAGCUGACAGGCUCCAACGACGAGGAUGGCCUAACUGCAAUACUUGCCCCUUAUGCAUGCAAGUUCAAGAGUCGGCGGCCCAUCUCCUUUUCCAAUGCCGCUACACCGUUAGGGUCUGGGGAAUGAUCAAAUCUUGGCUCGGCUUACUUGAUGUGCACCCAUCGGCCUGGGUGGCUCUAGACUCAGUGAAGGAUUGGCGGAACCUAAUUGCUUCCAACAUGUCGCAAUCCCGGCAGGAAAUGAUGUCUCUCAUUAUGCUUAUCUCGUGGGAAAUUUGGAAGGAGAGGAAUGCUCGAGUUUUCCGCCACACAGCGGUGCCUGUAGGGGUUCUUGUUGCUAGAAUUAGAGAGGAGUCAAAGCUAUGGUGUCUUGCGGGAAUCUUUGAGUAA
RNAcentral lists this ribosomal RNA (519 nucleotides) under Triticum aestivum (bread wheat). RNAcentral describes it as "partial small subunit ribosomal RNA". Lineage: Eukaryota; Viridiplantae; Streptophyta; Magnoliopsida; Poales; Poaceae. The record is from RNAcentral.